RNAcentral lists this ribosomal RNA (543 nucleotides) under uncultured Perlucidibaca sp. RNAcentral describes it as "bacterial SSU rRNA". It matches the Rfam family "Bacterial small subunit ribosomal RNA", at positions 366 to 904 of the family's 1533-position model. Lineage: Bacteria; Pseudomonadati; Pseudomonadota; Gammaproteobacteria; Pseudomonadales; Perlucidibacaceae. The record is from RNAcentral.
GGACAAUGGGCGAAAGCCUGAUCCAGCCAUGCCGCGUGUGUGAAGAAGGCCUUCGGGUUGUAAAGCACUUAAGCGAGGAGGAAUGGCUCUGGGUUAAUACCCUUGAGCAGUGACGUUACUCGCAGAAUAAGCACCGGCUAACUCUGUGCCAGCAGCCGCGGUAAUACAGAGGGUGCAAGCGUUAAUCGGAAUUACUGGGCGUAAAGCGCGCGUAGGCGGUUGCGUAAGUUGGAUGUGAAAUCCCCGGGCUCAACCGGGAAUUGCAUCAAAACUGCGCGGCUAGAGUGUGGGAGAGGAAGGUAGAAUUCCAGGUGUAGCGGUGAAAUGCGUAGAUAUCUGGAGGAAUACCGAUGGCGAAGGCAGCCUUCUGGCCUAACACUGACGCUGAGGUGCGAAAGCAUGGGGAGCAAACAGGAUUAGAUACCCUGGUAGUCCAUGCCGUAAACGAUGUCUACUAGCCGUUGGGGGACUUGAUCCUUUAGUGGCGCAGCUAACGCAUUAAGUAGACCGCCUGGGGAGUACGGUCGCAAGACUAAAACUCAA